GCUGCUUUGGCCGAGUGGUUAAGGCGGUGGUUUUAAGCUCGCUCUGCGAUCACCACUGACGCAAGUCGCAGCGGUUCGAACCCGCUAGGCAGCA
Non-coding RNA from Xylariales sp. PMI_506, 94 nucleotides. The record is from the annotation of a GenBank genome assembly. NCBI's taxonomy places the organism in Eukaryota, Fungi, Ascomycota, Sordariomycetes, Xylariales.